RNAcentral lists this long non-coding RNA (1018 nucleotides) under Capsicum annuum. RNAcentral's name for it is "long non-coding RNA (CANN_LNC018512)". The record is from RNAcentral. Lineage: Eukaryota; Viridiplantae; Streptophyta; Magnoliopsida; Solanales; Solanaceae.
UUAUAUGUUAUAUCUGACAAACAACUAAUACGGUUAUGUAUAUGUAAUAAUUUUUUAAAAAUGGUUAUUUAUGUUUUUUUUCUUUUUAUUUACCAGAUCAAUUUAGAAUGACGAAAAAUUGAUAUUGUGUGCUAUUUAUUUGGUCUAUAUUAACAAAAAUGAUAGGGAUUUUAUGUAGUUUAAUAAAGAUAAGUUGUGGUAUUAUAUAUUUUUUUAAUAAAAGGGAAAAAUAGCCCCAAUAGGUAGACGGAAAGGGCAUUUUAGGCUCAAUAAAUAAACAGAAAGAACAUUUUAGGCUCAAUAGGUAGAUUGAUGAUAUUUUUACAUCAUUUCACAUAGUUUAAGGGCAUUUUAGACCCUUUUUCGUUUAUUUAAUAAACAAUCCUCACAUGUAAAUAUUUUUGUGCAAACUCUACAAGAUUAUUGAGUUCAUUUUCAUCAAUAAAUCCACUCUUGUUAGUGUCAGCAAAUUUCAUCCCCCGCCAGCCUUUUAUCCGGCAAAACCUACCUCCGGUGGAUCGCACCACCUCUUGAAGUUCUUCUUUGCUUAUUUUCCCAUCCUUGUCUACAUCAAACUUCUUCAACCAUUCCUUGAACUCUUCCAAAUUCAUUUCGAGUUUCCCAUCUGCUGAAUAAUGGACUUUCUGCGAUUGUAUAUUCUUGAGCGCCAUAAUUAGAACAGAGUGAACUAAAUUUGAACGGAUUAGAGAGAGUGUAUUUUACAAGGUGAUGGAGAGGAAGAUUCAUGAAUUUAUAGUGUGUAUAGUAGGUGUCUAUUUCAUCUUCACGAAGGUGCUUUCUUUACAACAUGCUGAUAAAAAUUCUUUUUUUUUUUUUUUAAAAGGACAUUAUUAUAAAAUUAUAAUCCAUUAAUAUUUGUUCAUUCUCUACUUUUGGAAAAAGAAUCAAGAAAAUAGGGGUGUUAAACGUGUACCACGGCAAGUGCUCCCUUAAUAAUUACUUUUAAGAUUGAUUAACAUAAACCGCACAGUUGAAAGAAAAAGGUUGAUCUUUUUUG